This 465-nucleotide ribosomal RNA is filed under the name Vreelandella stevensii. RNAcentral describes it as "partial 16S ribosomal RNA". It matches the Rfam family "Bacterial small subunit ribosomal RNA", at positions 338 to 795 of the family's 1533-position model. The record is from RNAcentral. Lineage: Bacteria; Pseudomonadati; Pseudomonadota; Gammaproteobacteria; Oceanospirillales; Halomonadaceae.
CCUACGGGGGGCAGCAGUGGGGAAUAUUGGACAAUGGGCGAAAGCCUGAUCCAGCCAUGCCGCGUGUGUGAAGAAGGCCUUCGGGUUGUAAAGCACUUUCAGUGGGGAAGAAAGCCUUGUGGCUAAUACCCUCGAGGAAGGACAUCACCCACAGAAGAAGCACCGGCUAACUCCGUGCCAGCAGCCGCGGUAAUACGGAGGGUGCGAGCGUUAAUCGGAAUUACUGGGCGUAAAGCGCGCGUAGGCGGUCUGAUAAGCCGGUUGUGAAAGCCCCGGGCUCAACCUGGGAACGGCAUCCGGAACUGUCAGGCUAGAGUGCAGGAGAGGAAGGUAGAAUUCCCGGUGUAGCGGUGAAAUGCGUAGAGAUCGGGAGGAAUACCAGUGGCGAAGGCGGCCUUCUGGACUGACACUGACGCUGAGGUGCGAAAGCGUGGGUAGCAAACAGGAUUAGAUACCCGGGUAGUC